RNAcentral lists this small RNA (310 nucleotides) under Histoplasma ohiense. RNAcentral describes it as "hypothetical lncRNA". The record is from RNAcentral. Lineage: Eukaryota; Fungi; Ascomycota; Eurotiomycetes; Onygenales; Ajellomycetaceae.
CAAUCUGAGGAUUUCAGAGCAGAUUUCUCAUGCUGCUUCAGUACUCAUCAUUCAAUGAAUUAUACUUCAGAUCAUCAGCUGAGUUGUAUCAUUUCAGAAUGAUUUAUCAAAAUGUCUCAGCUUUGACAGCUGUCUCUUCUAUGAUCUGAUUCUCAAUCAUCAGAGAAAAUGCUCUGAGAUUGAGUUUCAGCUUAUAUCAUGCUAUCACUCAGUACAGAUCUCUGUCAUCUCUGAUUUCAUUGAUCAUCUGUUUUCAGUAUAUAUAUUUGAUCUUGCAUACUGUGUUCUUGAACUGAUACUUUGUGAUCUC